RNAcentral lists this ribosomal RNA (266 nucleotides) under uncultured prokaryote. RNAcentral describes it as "partial 16S ribosomal RNA". It matches the Rfam family "Bacterial small subunit ribosomal RNA", at positions 524 to 788 of the family's 1533-position model. The record is from RNAcentral.
UACGUAGGUGGCAAGCGUUGUCCGGAUUUAUUGGGCGUAAAGGGAGCGCAGGCGGUGACUUAAGUCUGAUGUGAAAGCCCACGGCUCAACCGUGGAAGGUCAUUGGAAACUGGGUCACUUGAAUAUAGAAGAGGGAAGUGGAAUUCCAUGUGUAGCGGUGAAAUGCGUAGAGAUAUGGAGGAACACCAGUGGCGAAGGCGGCUUCCUGGUCUGUAACUGACACUGAGGCGCGAAAGCGUGGGGAGCAAACAGGAUUAGAUACCCCU